UCACCACCACUGUAAAGUUUUGUCAACCCAAAUAAAGGGGUAAACUGAGACAAACUCGAAUGACCAGAUGCUGCGUUCAUCCAGGAACAGCAGAGGGAUUGCAGUUGGCGAGACACAUGCUUGGAGCAAGUGGCAAGGAGUCUGUGGAAGGUCCUGGGUGGCUGCAUUCGUGGAUGGGAGUGCAAAGAGGAGGCGUCUACCCCAAGUCCCAGCCAGGAGUUCCCUGGCUUGAGGUUGGAGACAGACUCUUGGCAGGCACUCAUUGGUCAGGAGCUGAGACUGUGCGUGACCCAACUUCCCAGGUCCAUCUCCCUGGGGCCCAAGAGGUCAGAGCAUCAAGGAAAGCCACCGGAGAGUACCAGCCCACACCGUUGAGAAUCUGGAUUUGGUGUCUUGAAGAGAAAAGGAAAGCCCACGUCUAAACCCAGAGCACACGGAGGCUCUGGGGUGGACGCGCUCAGCGGCGGUGGCGCGGGUGGUGUUCGUGCUGCUGGCUGCUGUGUCCUCUCACGGUUCAGUGUCGCCUCCCCAGCUCCCGUGCCUCUGUUUGCCUCCUGCUUCCCGUCAUGGCCUUCACCUCUUUGACAAGUGCUCUUCCACCCGACCCGGCCAGCUGCUUCCCUGCGCUGCCCUAGAAACAAACGGCUCUCCCGUUCCGGGCCAGGCCGCCCGCUAGCUCGCGGUGUUGGUGCCCGUGGAAUCCGGGCUGGAGUCCCAGUGUGUUUGGAGUCCUCUUGCACUCCGAGGUUCUGAGCCUGCCUGUGCCCGUGUCCUGCGUUUCCCCAAUGGUCCUGUCUGUCCUGCCACUGGCCUGUCGCUGCUAUGUCCCCUGGACCGCAAGCCCAGUGAGGCUGCUGCCUCAGGCUGCGGGGACAGUCGCUCUGUGCCCCCCCCCCCACUGUUUCCAGGACACAUCUCUAUGUGUUCUUGGUCAAGGGCUCCGUGGACCUGUGCCCUUUAUGAAAUGGAACUGUAGUGGUAUGACUGGGAACGGUCCACGGGCCCUGUGUGCAGAGAAGCCAUGUAUCCAGUCGAACAGGCUCCUUGCCUGGCUCCCAGGACACAGGGUUAACCAAGAUUUCUGUGGGCUGGGCGGAUGCCGGAGCCCAGGCAGCAGGGAGGACACUGUGGGCCAGACAGCGUGGCUGGGCCUGGCCGUGAGGGCAGUACAUCUGCUCUUCCCUCUUUGUUGCAGGGUAGAAAGGGAAAAGAUGAAAGAAAGACUGAGGCAGAACCACAUCUUUCCUGGAAGGGUUUCCUGGCUUCCAUCAGACUCCCCCGCCCCUCCAACCCGAGCAGAACAGAGUCUCUCGACAUUUUUUGCCAGAUCAUUUUCCAUCAGGGAGCCAUCCUGGACACUGCAGGGUGUUGAGUAGCACCCCUAGCUUCCAACUGCUAGGUACUGGCAGCACCCUGAGACUAGUUUGACACCCAAGGAUGUCUCCAGACAUUGCCAGAUGUUGCCCCUGGUUGAGACCCCAGCUCUGGAAGAAGAAUCGCUCCUAGUAAAUAAAGAAGCCAAAGUAUUCA
RNAcentral lists this long non-coding RNA (1530 nucleotides) under Vulpes vulpes (red fox). RNAcentral's name for it is "lncRNA (ENSVVUG00000019915.1)". The record is from RNAcentral. Lineage: Eukaryota; Metazoa; Chordata; Mammalia; Carnivora; Canidae.